CCUACGGGAGGCAGCAGUGAGGAAUAUUGGUCAAUGGGCGUAAGCCUGAACCAGCCAAGUCGCGUGAGGGAUGAAGGUUCUAUGGAUCGUAAACCUCUUUUAUAAGGGAAUAAAGUGUGGGUGGUGACCUGUUUUGUAUGUACCUUAUGAAUAAGGAUCGGCGAACUCCGUGCCAGCAGCCGCGGUAAUACGGAAGAUACGAGCGUUAUCCGGAUUGAUUGGGUUUAAAGGGUGCGUAGGCGGCCUGUUAAGUCAGCGGUGAAAGUCUGUGGCUCAACCAUAGAAUUGCCGUUGAAACUGGGAGGCUUGAGUGUGUUUGAGGCAAGCGGAAUGCGUGGUGUAGCGGUGAAAUGCGUAGAUAUCACGCAGAACACCGAUUGCGAAGGCAGCCUGCCAAGCCAUGACUGACGCUGAUGCACGAAAGCGUGGGGAUCAAACAGGAUUAGAUACCCUUGUAGUC
This 460-nucleotide ribosomal RNA is filed under the name uncultured bacterium. RNAcentral's name for it is "partial 16S ribosomal RNA". It matches the Rfam family "Bacterial small subunit ribosomal RNA", at positions 338 to 795 of the family's 1533-position model. The record is from RNAcentral.